GCCAGGCGUGGUGGCUCACACCUGCAAUCCCAGCACUUUGGGAGGCUGAGGCGGGUGGAUCACUUGAGGUCAGGAAUUUGAGACUGGCCUGGUUAAUGUGGUGAAACCCCGUCUCUACUAAAAAUACAAAAAGUAGCUGGGCGUGGUGGCGGGUGCCUGUAAUCCCAGCUACUCGGGAGGCUGAAGCAGAAGAAUUUCUUGAACCUGGGAGGCAGAGAUUGCAGUGAGCCAAGAUCGCACCAGCACACUUUAGCCUGGGCAACAGGGUGAGACUCCGUCUUA
Molecule: unclassified non-coding RNA, 282 nt
Organism: Homo sapiens (human)
Lineage: Eukaryota; Metazoa; Chordata; Mammalia; Primates; Hominidae
Rfam family: Metazoan signal recognition particle RNA
About the family: The signal recognition particle (SRP) is a universally conserved ribonucleoprotein. It is involved in the co-translational targeting of proteins to membranes.
Source: Ensembl